Molecule: ribosomal RNA, 397 nt
Filed under: uncultured bacterium
Lineage: Bacteria
Description: partial 16S ribosomal RNA
Rfam family: Bacterial small subunit ribosomal RNA
Source: RNAcentral
AUACGUAGGGGGCGAGCGUUGUCCGGAAUGAUUGGGCGUAAAGGGCGCGUAGGCGGCCUGUUAAGUCUGGAGUGAAAGUCCUGUUUUCAAGAUGGGAAUUGCUUUGGAUACUGAUGGGCUUGAGUGCAGGAGGGGUUAUCGGAAUUCCCGGUGUAGCGGUGAAAUGCGUAGAGAUCGGGAGGAACACCAGUGGCGAAGGCGGGUAACUGGACUGCAACUGACGCUGAGGCGCGAAAGUGUGGGGAGCAAACAGGAUUAGAUACCCUGGUAGUCCACACUGUAAACGAUGAAUGCUAGGUGUAAGAGGUAUCGACCCCUUUUGUGCCGGAGUUAACACAAUAAGCAUUCCGCCUGGGGAGUACGGCCGCAAGGUUGAAACUCAAAUGAAUUGACGGGG